GUGUCCCUCGUUGAAAAUUUGGGGGUCUUUAUGAUAAUUUUCCUAAAUCUUAGGGGUGUAGGUUUCUUUUUUCUAAAUACUUACAAAUAAAAUAAAAUAAUCACUAGAAAUAGUCAAAAUUAACAAAUAAAUCAGGCCUAAACCAUUAUACAUAUUAGGAUUGCCAGAACAAAUUGCAAAUGUUGGAAAUAAGUGUUCGUCCAACAGCAGCUCAUUGCCAACCAUUUGAUGGGCAAAUGUAAUGACAUUAAUUUUUUGUGUUUAUUAGGAACUGUCUUUUAUUUAAAUGAUUGAAUGGAGUUUUACUAAACCCAGAUUUUUCCUGAAAAUAAGACAGACGAUUUACAUUUAGAUCAUAAUGUAAAAUUAUAUGAAGCAUUAUGAAGAGUUUGACAUCGACUAAAAAUAAUUUUUAGGCUAUAUAUAUCAAUUUGGAUAACGUAUUCUUAACUCAUGACUUAAUUUUUGAAUAUAUCAUUAGUCUAGAGCUUCUAAAAAUAUUGCAUUCAAAAGUGUUUAUGUACUAACUAUAGGCUCACUUGCUUGGUCAGGCAAACUUUCCUUGUCAACCGGGCCUAUUAGAUAGCCUAAUAUUAAUUAUUCAACAGGUUGUUCUUAGGAUUCAUAGCCUAAAGCUACAAUCAUGUUUUAAAAUAAGAAUUUUAUUGUGGGCAUUUUCACGUAAACGAUUCGAACUACCUGUCGUAAAAAAGUUUACAUCGUAUAACGUUAGUACGACAAGUCAUUUGACGGCUCAAAAUCAAUUUGACACGUCUUUUGUAUCAUUUUCGCCUAGAUGACAACUCUUGAUCCUUAUCGCUUGGCGCCAAAACCAACUUUUCAUAAACUCCUCCUUCUCCAAUAACACAUAUUCGCACUAAAACCUCCAAUUGUUUGUAUUAUAAACCCACUUCAUUUCAAAGCUAAGCAAAUAUAAAUACUCAUCAUUUUGGGGUGCUUACUCUAAAUUUUUGUAGUAGUGUUCGUUUGCUUAGCUUACCUAGCUACCCAGCCUCGUUGUAUGCAUCCCCUGCUAAGCAAAAGGUCUGCUGCAUUAGCAUGGUGAUAGCAUAGGGUUUUGAGAAAUCUAAAAUUCCCCCCACCAAAUAAAUAAAUAAAUAAAUAAGACUAAGACUUAUAAAAUUAACAUAAACGUAAAGGGAUUGUUCGCUUUUUUGUCCAAAGUCUAAAUUUUAUUCUUGAUCAGAACUUUUAAGAGUUUUACUUCUUUUGUUGUUUAAAACUUAUAUUUGAUUAUAAGAUAUUUAUGUUUGAAUAGGGAAAAAGUGAGAUUAUUCGCACUUUAAAAAUUAUUUUGGAACUAUUCAUUUAUAAAAUAUUUUUAUCAAAAAAAUACCCUUUUGUAAUGGUAUUAUGGUUUAAUCGCAUAAUACCAUUACACUGUUAAAUCACAUAACUUAAAAACUUUCUUGUAUUUAAAAAAUCCAAGAUCCUGAAUUAGAACAUACAUAUAAUAUAUCUAAUCCACCCAUCCAU
This 1497-nucleotide long non-coding RNA is filed under the name Citrus x clementina. Its description in RNAcentral is "Citrus clementina (C. clementina) long non-coding RNA (CCLE_LNC003316)". The record is from RNAcentral. Lineage: Eukaryota; Viridiplantae; Streptophyta; Magnoliopsida; Sapindales; Rutaceae.